GGCUGCGGGGCCCGGGCCUGGGCUGCGGGGCCCGGGCCUGGGCUGCGGGGCCCGGGCCUGGGCUGCGGGGCCCGGGCCUGGGCUGCGGGGCCCGGCGGCUGCCGUUCGGGCGGCCCGCAGCAGGUGGUGCUGCCGCCUCGCUGCUCGCCGGCCCCAGCCCGGCUGCAGGGCGGGGACGGCCCCGCUCUGUCAGACAGGGGACGGGAGGCGCCUCUCCUGGGCACCGCCACCGGGGCGGGCUCCCGGCCGCUCGGGUGCCCUCGGGUCAGGCCGUGAGCUGAAGGCGGCCGCAGCCUCCCUGCGGCCGGCCGUGGGUUAUUUUGCCAAGCUCGAGAGGAAAGAGUCAGAACGGCCGUAUGAUUUUUCACAGAGCCUUGCUGAAGUGCAAGGAGUCAGCACAAAUUCAUGAACAGGAGAUGUGCUGCAGGAGCACGUGGAGCUCAGAGGUCUGGUGCCUCCUCUGGGAGAUUCUCCAGACCUCCUUGGCAAGCAUCCUUGUAACUCAAGCAUCAUCUCAAGGCCUCCUUGUUGCAGUAUUACCCUGUAUUUCUUGUUUCUCAGGAUUCUGUUUGUCCAGUUUUAUAAAAAUGCCUUUGGGAAGCACCACUCAAAAGCCACCAUGGCUUUCCCCAAGAUGGAUCCAUAGCUCCGGUAAUUCUGGCAAUGGUCAUGAGCAGGCGCUUUGCAUGGAGCAAGUGUUACACACAUGCCUAAUUCUCUAAAACAAUUACAGACAGCACCAGUAACAUCCCUGCUGUUCUACCUAGAAGGAGAGAAAAUGUUUUAAUCAGGUCGUUAACAUUAAAUAUGUGCCAAGUAUUGCUACAGCCAAACUUCCAAAUGUAUGGGAUGCUGACAUGAAUCUCCACAAAAGGUUAUUGGGACAUUAAGGUUCCAUGUAAAGAUUCAAGGAGAGAGUGCAUCUGAAAUGCAAAAUCUACUUUCAAAAUCUGUAUAGAUAUUUAGAGGCUUCCCCAAAUAUCACAUCUCCUUAGGUCUAGCUGAAGUCAAUCACAGAGGUUCACAGUAUUCAGCUGAGCUUCCUGGACAUCGGUGGGAUUUUUCAGACCUCUUCACUUCUCAGAAAAAG
Molecule: long non-coding RNA, 1090 nt
Filed under: Anser brachyrhynchus (Pink-footed goose)
Lineage: Eukaryota; Metazoa; Chordata; Aves; Anseriformes; Anatidae
Description: lncRNA (ENSABRG00000016851.1)
Source: RNAcentral